CUUCUGAAGAAUCCCCAGAGUACAGCUUCUCACCAUGGACUGGACCUGGAGAAUCCUCUUCUUGGUGGCAGCUGUAAAAAGUGUCCAUGGCCAGGUGCAGUUGGUGCAGUCUGGGUCUGAGGUGAGGAGGCCCACGGAGUCUGUGAAGAUCUCCUGCAAGGCUUCUGGCUACGCCUUCACAGGCUACUACAUGCACUGGGUGCGACAGGGCCCUGGACAGGGUCUGGAGUGGAUUGGUCGAAUCGAUCCAGAGGAUGGAAAUACUAAAUAUGCUCAGAAGUUCCAGGACAGGGUCAGCCUCACUGCAGACACCUCUUCCAGCACAGCCUACAUGGAGCUGAGCAGUCUGAAGUCUGAGGACACAGCCGUGUAUUACUGUGCGAGACACAGUGUGGUGACCACAUCCUGAGUCUGUCAGAAAUCCUGAGGCAGGAG
Non-coding RNA from Fukomys damarensis (Damara mole-rat), 435 nucleotides. NCBI's taxonomy places the organism in Eukaryota, Metazoa, Chordata, Mammalia, Rodentia, Bathyergidae. The record is from the annotation of a RefSeq genome assembly.